CUUGAGCGUUCUUUUGCGGACGCCUUUCGCGCGUGCGGAUAUGCGGAUGCGGAUGAAUGGAAUAAGCGCUGUGCAUUUCAACUUGUUCUAUUUUUUUGCGGAUGCGGAUACGAACAGAUGGAAUAGUAGCCUAAAUCAGGAAUGGCUACACCUUGCUCGAGUACGGGUUGGCACUACCAGUGUUGUCCAUUUGGUGUUACAGGACAAGUUUGGCUAAAACAAUUAAUACGAUGUUCCUAUGAAGCACCACUCCGUUUUUCGGCGCAUCUGUUUUACCAAGCUUUUCACCCUAGCUGACAUUUGAAAGCUUCCAAUGAAAAUUGAAUAAAAUUUCCCGCCUGUAAGUCAGAAACUGUUCGUAAUAGAAAACGUGCAAUCUACAAACAGUUAUCACAUUAACAUUUAUGGGUAAUUCAAUGGACUUUCUAUUUUUUGAAGUGUAGGGCAUAAAGAGGGAUACACCAGUUCAUUUUGCAUCGAUGUUAACUGCGUGUUCAGUAUGAAACAAUUUUAUCACUAAGAAAAGACUUGAGGGAUGGAACAGUUUCACAUUAAACUCUCGACAUCAAUAUAAUUUGUGUGUGCACCUUUAUAUUGAGGAAAUUGUCAGGGCCAGAGCGUUUUUACUUAAUUAAAGGCUAUGUUCUCAUA
Molecule: long non-coding RNA, 651 nt
Organism: Dreissena polymorpha
Lineage: Eukaryota; Metazoa; Mollusca; Bivalvia; Myida; Dreissenidae
Exons: 2
Source: RefSeq, a predicted model, not a curated record